UACGUAGGAGGCAAGCGUUGUCCGGAAUUACUGGGUGUAAAGCGCGUGUAGGUGGUGGGCCAAGUCUGUGGUGAAAUCGCCCGGCUCAACUGGGCGGGUCCGUGGAAACUGGUCGACUGGAGGACGGUAGAGGCGAGUGGAAUUCCCGGUGUAGCGGUGAAAUGCGUAGAGAUUGGGAAGAACAUCGGUGGCGAAGGCGCUCUGCUGGACCAUAACUGACACUCACAGGACGAAAGCUAGGGGAGCGAAUGGGAUUAGGA
This 260-nucleotide ribosomal RNA is filed under the name uncultured bacterium. RNAcentral describes it as "partial 16S ribosomal RNA". It matches the Rfam family "Bacterial small subunit ribosomal RNA", at positions 524 to 783 of the family's 1533-position model. The record is from RNAcentral.